GGAUUAGAUACCCUGGUAGUCCACGCCGUAAACGAUGUCUACUAGCUGUUCGCGGCCUUGUGUUGUGAGUAGCGCAGCUAACGCACUAAGUAGACCGCCUGGGGAGUACGGUCGCAAGAUUAAAACUCAAAUGAAUUGACGGGGGCCCGCACAAGCGGUGGAGCAUGUGGUUUAAUUCGACGCAACGCGAAGAACCUUACCUACUCUUGACAUCUACAGAACUUGGCAGAGAUGCCUUGGUGCCUUCGGGAACUGUAAGACAGGUGCUGCAUGGCUGUCGUCAGCUCGUGCUG
RNAcentral lists this ribosomal RNA (293 nucleotides) under uncultured bacterium. Its description in RNAcentral is "partial 16S ribosomal RNA". It matches the Rfam family "Bacterial small subunit ribosomal RNA", at positions 775 to 1067 of the family's 1533-position model. The record is from RNAcentral.